UACGUAGGGUGCGAGCGUUGUCCGGAAUUAUUGGGCGUAAAGGGCUCGUAGGCGGUUUGUCGCGUCGGGAGUGAAAACCUCGGGCUUAACUCGGGGCUUGCUUUCGAUACGGGCAGACUUGAGUUCGGCAGGGGAGACUGGAAUUCCUGGUGUAGCGGUGAAAUGCGCAGAUAUCAGGAGGAACACCGGUGGCGAAGGCGGGUCUCUGGGCCGAUACUGACGCUGAGGAGCGAAAGCGUGGGGAGCGAACAGG
Molecule: ribosomal RNA, 253 nt
Filed under: uncultured bacterium
Lineage: Bacteria
Description: partial 16S ribosomal RNA
Rfam family: Bacterial small subunit ribosomal RNA
Source: RNAcentral